CAAGUGUGGUAUGGGUUAAUAACUUAAUACGGUGCUUCUCGCAAUUACAGCGCCUUUCACCAGAUCUGGUUGUCUUCUUUUAUGUAGUUGAUAUUGUUGGCCGAGCAAGUCAUAUUUUUCAGGCGGAGAAAAUAAUAAAAGAAAUGCCCAUGCAACCAGAUUAUGUGGUGUGGAGUGCAUUUCUUGGAGCAUGCUGCAAACAUCGUGAAUCUGGGCUCGCCCAAAUAGCUGCAUCUCAGUUGAAAGAGUUAGAUCCAGAAAAUUCAUUAGGAUAUAUACUCAUGUCUAAUGUAUACUGCUCAAACCAUAGCUUCAAUGAAGCAGGUCAUAUUAGGAAGCAAAUGAGAGGGCUUGGUGUUACAAAGCAGCCUGGGUUGAGUUGGGCAGAUCUUGGUUAAAGGAGUUUGAUCUAGAAAAGUCAUGAGGAUAUGUACUCAUGUGAAAUGUAUACUGCUCAGCCCAUAGCUGCGAUGAAACAGGUCAUCUAACAAAGCAAAUGAGAGGGCUUGGUGUUACAAAGCAGCGUGGAUUGAGUUGGACAGAUCUUGAUUGAAGGAGUUUGAUCCAGAAAAGUCAUGAGGAUAUGUACUCAUGUGAAAUGUAUACAUCUUAGCCCAUAGCUGAGAUGAAACAGGUCAUCUUAGGAAGCAAAUGAGAGGGCUUGGUGUUACAAAGCAGCCUGCAUUGAGUUGGACAGAUCUUGAUUGAAGGAGUUUGAUCCAGAAAAGUCAUGAGGAUAUGUGCUCAUGUGAAAUGUAUACUGCCCAGCCCAAUGCAACAUGUCAUCUAAGGAAGCAAAUGAGAGAGCUUGGUGUUACAAAGCAGCCUGGAUUAAGCCGUUGGGGGUUUGGUGCAUGAGUUUGCUUCCGGAGGCUUGCAACAUCCGGACAGGAGAGAUAUAGACUAAUAUGGAGUUCUGUGUGAAAGACCGAAACAUAUUGGUUACAGUAUCACAGCAACAAUAAUAUACCUAGUGUGAUCCCACAAGUGAGGUCUGAGGAGGGUUGAGUGUACGCAAGACCAAUCCUCCGUAGUUGAAGCUGCACCGAGAACAGGGACCAACUUCUCAAUGAAAGAGGUUAGAUGUGGCAUAUCAGCUGCCGUCCCUCAAAGAAAGGGAAUCAAUGAAUCCAAAGCAAGGUGCGGGGAAGUCUUGGUUGAAGGCAAAAUUUGGUCACGAUUUUUUAAGAAAACAAAAGCAGGUUAGGAAGUCUUGCUUACUCAUUUCUCCAUCUAAGUAAGAGAAGACCUUAGUGCCACCUAGUGCGAGGUAGAGAGUUCCUGGUAGACCUUCGUCUCAAGAAAAGCAUUUUCAGAAACAGGUUUGAAAGAUAAAAAAGUGAAGAAGCGCCCAAUGAAACUCCUGGAAAGUAGCAUGACAUACAAAAUACAGAAACAAGGAAAAACUUGUGACCAUACAAAAUGCAUAAAAGAGGCACACUUCAUGUCCGGAUUGUGCACACUUGAAACGGCAAGGACUAUGAUAAAUUCUGGUAAUAUUAAUUCAUUUCCUCUCUAUGGCUUUCUAGCACAGAUACUAUAUUUUGAGAAUAACUAGGCAUUGUUGAAUUGAGUGCAGCACCCAAGAUUGAAUAUCCAAAUGAUUUCAUAGCAUUCAUUAUCCUUGUUUCUGUAUUUUGAUUACAUUGGUCAAUAUUUUAUAGUAUUAGCUGGCUUAUGGACCUCCAAAAUAGGGUACAUUUGUUUCGAAAAGAUUCUGAAUCGCUACAUGUAUUAAACUAUGAACCAUUUUAUCCUGCCUUGUAAUUGAUUGUUUGAUUAAUUGUGAACUGAUGAAUAUUUUCAAUUUCUCAUCUUUUACAGAA
Solanum pennellii is the source of this 1826-nucleotide long non-coding RNA. RefSeq lists it as uncharacterized. The transcript is spliced from 2 exons. NCBI's taxonomy places the organism in Eukaryota, Viridiplantae, Streptophyta, Magnoliopsida, Solanales, Solanaceae. The record is from RefSeq and is a predicted model, not a curated record.